RNAcentral lists this ribosomal RNA (515 nucleotides) under uncultured bacterium. Its description in RNAcentral is "partial 16S ribosomal RNA". It matches the Rfam family "Bacterial small subunit ribosomal RNA", at positions 28 to 523 of the family's 1533-position model. The record is from RNAcentral.
GAUGAACGCUGGCGGCGUGCCUAAUACAUGCAAGUCGAGCGAAUGGAUUAAGAGCUUGCUCUUAUGAAGUUAGCGGCGGACGGGUGAGUAACACGUGGGUAACCUGCCCAUAAGACUGGGAUAACUCCGGGAAACCCGGGCUAAUACCGGAUAACAUUUUGAACCGCACGGUUCGAAAUUGAAAGGCGCCUUCGGCUGUCACAUAUGGAUGGACUCGCGUCGCAUUAGCUAGUUGGGGAGGUAACAGCUCACCAAGGCAACGAUGCGUAGCCGACCUGAGAGGGUGAUCGGCCACACUGGGACUGAGACACGGCCCAGACUCCUACGGGAGGCAGCAGUAGGGAAACUUCCGCAAUGGACGAAAGUCUGACGGAGCAACGCCGCGUGAGUGAUGAAGGCUUUCGGGUCGUAAAACUCUGUUGUUAGGGAAGAACAAGUGCUAGUUGAAUAAGCUGGCACCUUGACGGUACCUAACCAGAAAGCCACGGCUAACUACGUGCCAGCCGCCGCAGUAA